CGAUUUCGGAGAGGGAGCAUGAGAAACGGCUACCACAUCUAAGGAAGGCAGCAGGCGCGUAAAUUACCCAAUCCUGACUCAGGGAGGUAGUGACAAGAAAUAGCAAACCGGGAACCUCAUGGUUUCACGGUAUUGCAAUGAGAACAAUUUAAAACCCUUAGCGAGAAUCAAGUGGAGGACAAGUCUGGUGCCAGCACCCGCGGUAAUUCCAGCUCCACUAGCGUAUAUUAAAGUUGUUGCAGUUAAAAAGCUCGUAGUUGAACCUCUGUCUGGGGCUAGUUUUGGCUUUGGUCAGGCUAGUUCUAGGCAUCCGCCUACAAGACUUAGAGGGCAUUCAGUUGUUCACUAGGAGGAGUAGGCAUUUUACUUUGAAAAAAUUAGAGUGUUUAAGGCAGGCAAUCGCCCGCAUAUAUUAGCAUGGAAUAAUAGAAUAGGACACUUUUCCAUUUCGUUGGUUAUUGGAAUCGUGUAAUGAUUAAUAGGGACAGUUGUGGGCAUUUGUAUUUAAUUGUCAGAGGUGAAAUUCUUGGAUUUAUUAAAGACAAACUAACGCGAAAGCAUUUGCCAAGGAUGUUUUCAUUAAUCAAGAACGAAAGUUAGGGGAUCAAAGACGAUCAGAUACCGUCCUAGUCUUAACUAUAAACUAUUCCGACUCAAUGUUUGACUGGCUUAUAUAACCAGUUGAGCGUUGUAUGAGAAAUCAAAGUCUUUAGGUUCUGGGGGGAGUAUGGUUGCAAAGCUGAAACUUAAAGGAAUUGACGGAAGAGCACAACCAGGAGUGGAUUCUGCGGCUUAAUUUGACUCAACACGGGGAAACUUACCAGGUUAAAGCAAUAGUGGGAUUGACAGUUUGAGAGCGCUUUCUUGAUUGGUUGGGUGGUGGUGCAUGGCCGUUCUUAGUUGGUGGAGUGAUUUGUCUGCUUAAUUGCGUUAACGAACGAGACCUUAACCUGCUUACUAGACUGGCGAUCAUCAAUCGUUAGCUCUUCUUAGAGGGACUUUGGUUGUUUUAACUCCAAGGAAGUUUGAGGCAAUAACAGGUCUGUGAUGCCCUUAGAUAUCCUGGGCCGCACGCGUCAUACAAUGACUAGUUCAGAAAGUUUUCUCCUGACCCGAAAGGGGAUGGGUAAUCUCGAUAAUACUAGUCGUGUUAGGGAUCGAUCUUUGCAAUUAUAGAUCUUGAACGAGGAAUUCCUAGUAAGUGCGGUUCAUCAGACCGUACUGAUUACGUCCCUGCUCUUUGUACACACCGCCCGUCGCUUCUACCGAGUGGGUGGUCCGGUGAGAUAAUUGAACUUCGCAGGUAACUGAGAGGAAAGAUUAUCAAACCUAUCCACCUCGAGGAAGAAGAAGUCGUAACAAGGUU
This 1366-nucleotide ribosomal RNA is filed under the name metagenome. Its description in RNAcentral is "SSU rRNA". It matches the Rfam family "Eukaryotic small subunit ribosomal RNA", at positions 378 to 1801 of the family's 1831-position model. The record is from RNAcentral.